GUCGUGUGAACGAUAAUACUCAUUCUUGAUGAAUUGUGAAGCAGUUGCCCUUGGGUCGUUUUGCGAGUUGAAGUCAAGAAGAGGAAAAAAACAAAAAGG
This 99-nucleotide small RNA is filed under the name Streptococcus pneumoniae. RNAcentral describes it as "ncRNA of unknown function". Lineage: Bacteria; Bacillati; Bacillota; Bacilli; Lactobacillales; Streptococcaceae. The record is from RNAcentral.